UGGGGAAUAUUGGACAAUGGGGGCAACCCUGAUCCAGCGAUGCCGCGUGAGUGAAGAAGGCCUUCGGGUCGUAAAGCUCUUUAGGUUGGGACGAAGUUUGGCUGAGGAUAAUGCAGUCAAGUUGACGGUACCGACAGAAUAAGCACCGGCAAACUCUGUGCCAGCAGCCGCGGUAAUACAGAGGGUGCAAGCGUUAAUCGGAGUUACUGGGCGUAAAGGGCGCGUAGGCGGUAAGAUGAGUGCGAUGUGAAAGCCCCGGGCUUAACCUGGGAAGUGCAUCGUAAACUAUCUAACUGGAGUAGAUGAGAGGGUGGCGGAAUUUCCGGUGUAGCGGUGAAAUGCGUAGAGAUCGGAAGGAACGUCAAUGGCGAAGGCAGCCACCUGGCAUCAUACUGACGCU
Molecule: ribosomal RNA, 400 nt
Filed under: uncultured bacterium
Lineage: Bacteria
Description: bacterial SSU rRNA
Rfam family: Bacterial small subunit ribosomal RNA
Source: RNAcentral